GGUGGCCUAGUGGUUAGAGCGUCUGCUUCAAAUGCCGAAGGUUGUAGGUUGGAUCCCAGAUCAAGUCAUACCAGAGACU
This is a non-coding RNA of Potamilus streckersoni, 79 nucleotides long. The record is from the annotation of a GenBank genome assembly. Lineage: Eukaryota; Metazoa; Mollusca; Bivalvia; Unionida; Unionidae.